GACGAACGCUGGCGGCGUGCCUAAUACAUGCAAGUUGAGCGCUGAAGGUUGGUACUUGUACCGACUGGAUGAGCAGCGAACGGGUGAGUAACGCGUGGGGAAUCUGCCUUUGAGCGGGGGACAACAUUUGGAAACGAAUGCUAAUACCGCAUAAAAACUUUAAACACAAGUUUUAAGUUUGAAAGAUGCAAUUGCAUCACUCAAAGAUGAUCCCGCGUUGUAUUAGCUAGUUGGUGAGGUAAAGGCUCACCAAGGCGAUGAUACAUAGCCGACCCGAGAGGGUGAUCGGCCACAUUGGGACUGAGACACGGCCCAAACUCCUACGGGAGGCAGCAGUAGGGAAUCUUCGGCAAUGGACGAAAGUCUGACCGAGCAACGCCGCGUGAGUGAAGAAGGUUUUCGGAUCGUAAAACUCUGUUGGUAGAGAAGAACGUUGGUGAGAGUGGAAAGCUCAUCAAGUGACGGUAACUACCCAGAAAGGGACGGCUAACUACGUG
RNAcentral lists this ribosomal RNA (497 nucleotides) under uncultured bacterium. RNAcentral's name for it is "partial 16S ribosomal RNA". It matches the Rfam family "Bacterial small subunit ribosomal RNA", at positions 28 to 507 of the family's 1533-position model. The record is from RNAcentral.